CAGUCGCCGCGGUAAUACAGAGGGUGCGAGCGUUAAUCGGAUUUACUGGGCGUAAAGCGUGCGUAGGCGGCUUCUUAAGUCAGAUGUGAAAUCCCUGAGCUUAACUUAGGAAUUGCAUUCGAUACUGGGAAGCUAGAGUAUGGGAGAGGAUGGUAGAAUUCCAGGUGUAGCGGUGAAAUGCAUAGAGAUCUGGAGGAAUACCGAUGGCGAAGGCAGCCAUCUGGCCUAAUACUGACGCUGAGGUACGAAAGCAUGGGGAGCAAACAGGAUUAGAGACCCCGGUAGUCCCUGUCUCUUAUAC
RNAcentral lists this ribosomal RNA (301 nucleotides) under uncultured bacterium. Its description in RNAcentral is "partial 16S ribosomal RNA". It matches the Rfam family "Bacterial small subunit ribosomal RNA", at positions 509 to 807 of the family's 1533-position model. The record is from RNAcentral.